Molecule: long non-coding RNA, 1183 nt
Organism: Oncorhynchus nerka (sockeye salmon)
Lineage: Eukaryota; Metazoa; Chordata; Actinopteri; Salmoniformes; Salmonidae
Exons: 3
Source: RefSeq, a predicted model, not a curated record
AAUAACAAAUUAACUGUAAGCAUUUACACCUACAAAGGUUCCAAAAUAAUAGAGACAUUUCAGAUGUCAUAUUGUGUAUAUUUACAGUGUUGUAAUUUACAGUGUUGUACUUGAAUAUUUCAAGUACAAAAGGGAAAAUAAAUAAACAUAGGUUGCGCCACCCUCCUUAACCUGGACGACGCUAGGCCAAUUGAGCGUCGACACAUGGACCUCCGGGGCGCGCCGGCUGCGACAGAGCCUGGGCUCGAACCCAGAGUCUCUGGUGGCACAGCUAGCACUGCGAUGUGGUGUCCUAGACUUACUGCGCCACCCGGGUCCCGGUAUUUGCAAAAUUCUGCAUUCAUGCACAUUCUCAAUUUGGUGUAUGUCCCAUUUUGUGAAUUCUUGGUUGGGGAGCGGACUCCAGACCUCAUAACCAUAAAGGGCAAUGGGUUCAGAUCCUAAUUGGUAAAAAAAUUCAAUGGCUGCCCAAUUUCUGGAAGAUCGUAAAUCUACCAUCUCUGAUUUGCACCAGACUGCUGCUCACGGACAGAAGAGAUGGACUUCAACCAUCAAUAGCCCGUAUCCUAUCAAGCGUCUUUGGAGGGAAGGUGGUAUCACAUCACCAAGGAGCAGCUUGAGGUGCUCAGUUUGUCAUAUGACCGUCAGACAAAUGGCAGAUGCUCUCAAUGUGUCGCACUCUGUGGUCAAGAAUAAAGCAAUUGUAACACAAGAGGGAGAUCUCUACAUCCUCUCUAGAUUUGAUCACAUUCCUGAUUGAUAUAUCUUUUUUGUGUUGAGUCAUUUUCAGCUUUUCAGGUCCUACUCACUGUUGUCAGACGCUCAGCUGGAUGAGAGGAUCAAAGGGCUGAUACAAUAAAAACAGAAUGGCGUCCCUAUAAGAGACCAAAAAAAAGUUUUUGUAAAACAAACAUAUCUUGUUUUUUAGGUGGAGGAUUGUUAUCCAUGGUGCUGUGGAUGGUUACAGCAGACUUGUUGGGUUUCUGAAGGCCUCUGACAACAACAGGAGUGCCACAGUCAUGGAUGUCAUUCGAAGCAGCCAUCACCAGCUACGGAGUACCAUCCCGGGUGAGAUGUGACCCGGGUGGUGAAAACAAUCGUAUCUGUGCCUUCAUGGAGCAAUUCAGGGGUGGUGAGAGGGGAAGUGCCCUCAGAGGAAGGAGCACACAACCAGAGGAUAGAU